Molecule: long non-coding RNA, 6882 nt
Filed under: Patiria miniata (bat star)
Lineage: Eukaryota; Metazoa; Echinodermata; Asteroidea; Valvatida; Asterinidae
Description: uncharacterized LOC119741602
Source: RNAcentral
CGUCAUCUUAGACUAGUUGUUUCAGUACAGGGCCGGGGCAGGCCUACGCUUUCGUGCUAGCUCUUAACACUCAUACAUUGCCUAUACGUUUACUUGGUGCAGUUCAUACUCCUAUAUCACGGGAUAUCUGUCCUGGGUACUACUCAACUAUAAUACGUAGCUAAUUUAAAAGUUCAGCUACCAAAGUUUAUUUUAAUUGAACAUUCAUGUGUGUUAUACGGUGCUGGCUGGUAGCACAAACAUCGCCAUCACUUCCACCAAGAUCAGCGCAGAGAGGGGCAAAGUUACACGUCUUCAGAAGAGUAGAAGAGGCCCAGUAUAGGGCGCCCUCUCCAACAAACACUCGCCUCGGAUGUCUGAUGGCUGGUGAGCGUAGCCAGCUCCGAUCGGGCGCAUUCGACCUAUUUAGAACAUUUUGAGAUAUUGUAAUUUUUCUCUAAAGGUAGUAUUCCAGUGGAAGAUUUUUUUUUAAAUUGUCCCUGAAUAAUUCAGAAGUACCGUCACUAAUUACACCAGUACUUUCACUUAUAAUUGAUUUAAAAUUCACAGAAAGAAAAAUACAGUGCAGAAAAAUUCCAAAAAUAUGGAGCAAAUAAAAAGCCUUGAUAACGCAAAAUUAAUUUGGCCCUUUUUUGAUUUAAUACGUAUGUUUAGGAUUAGUACGUUACCGCGCGAUAAUCAAAUCAAAAUUAAUGAAACAAAUUAAUUAAAAUCUAAAAAUUUGGGGACAUAAAAAUAAGAGAGAAAACCCGCGACAGUAUCUCUUGCAUGCAUUGUCACAUUGACUUCCUUGUUUUAAACCACUCCCUUUUAUAGACAAUUCAACGUUCUCCAUGCAACCUAAGUGUCCGAAACUAAAAAUAUAUCAGGCAAUUAAACUAAUCAGCAUUCUGGGCAAAAGAGUAAGUGGUAAGUUGGGGUGCAGACGCAGCUCCGUCAUGCGAUAAGCAGCUAGCAGCGCUAGGCAGCCGCUGCAUUACUUUGUUAACUUAGUGAGGAGGGUGUAGGUUGUAGGUUAGGCCGUUAAAAUUCGGCGAAAUGCUCUUGGAAUUCGUGUACGCGUUUUCGUUUGGAAACCUCCGUACCGCAUUUUAUCGCAUUUUCAUUCGCGAGGAUUUGGUGGUAAAAUUGUCGGUUCUGAACGAAAUCCAAGCCAAAGUAUCGAAGUGAAAUCCAAGGAAAACUCAUACGUACGUAAUGAUGUAUUAUUUCGUACUUGCGUAAUAUUAUCACGUAUAAAAAGGCGUGAUAAUUUUUACGCACGUACGUAAUAAUCUAUGAUCUCGCACUUGCGUAAAAUUAUCAUACCGUGAUAAUUAUUACGUGCGUAAGUAAUAAUCUAUUAUCUCGCACUUGCGUAAUAUUUUCACGUAUAGGCCUUACCGUGAUAAAUAUUACGUACGUACGUGAUAAUUAUUACUCAUGUAGGUGCUGAUGUGUACUCGUCAGGUACGUACCAAUAUCACGUACGUGACAGAUAUUAUGUAGGUACGUUUUAUUAUCACGUGAUAUGCAAUUAAAUUGCACACGUACUAUUAUCACGUACAUACGCAUAAUACAAUUAAGUACGUGAUAUUAUGACGUACGUGCAUGUUACUAUCAGCUCAGGUACGGACAUGUACCUCGUAUUAUAUUAUCAAGUACGUAUGCGAUAAAAACAUUACUACGUGUCAUUAUCAUGUACAUUAUACGUAUGUGAUAAUAUCACGUAUAGGCUACGUAACAAGAAAAAAUCUCCAUGUCUCCUGUAGGUCUCCGUACCCACGCGAUUUCGUGUACUGCGCUUCCAAUAAUUAUUUUCGGUAAUAAAAUCUAGGGAAAUGUUUAGAAGGGUGUAACGAACAGUGUUAUUAGGGAAAAAGCAUAGUCCGCUGCGAGCAUGCGCACAUUGAGCCUGCAGGCAGCGCGAUGGGAGGGGCUGGGGGACAGGGAGGGGGUCUGGGUCUCCUGUACUUAGUCAUUGUACUUAGUAUUAAGUUCUACGCAAUGGGUAUACGUUUUCGAACGGAUUUUCUGUUACAGAUAACCCCUCAAAUCCUCUAAUCCUCAAAGUUCGUUCCGAAAUUUUCUAAAAAUAAGAAUAAAAUGCAAACGAAAUCAAUUAAAAUUUAAAUAAAUGAAGACACUGUGCCUUUUACAUCGUCAAACAUUUUAUAUUCCCCCUAAAAUUGAAGGUACUGGUGUAUUUUUUUCAGUAUCAGAAACUUUAAUCGUAAAUUUAAAACUGAUUUCGUAAUUGAUUGAUUGUGGUUUUGUGAUAUUUUAUCAAUCCACUGGAAUACUGCCUUUUGAUACGGACAUUGGCUGGUACUUUGCACGCAAGAGAUAACAAUGCAGGUAUAUUGGUAUCGGGAUAGCUCUAUAAAGUAACCAUUCCCUUUGCGUUGCUCAUCUUUAUGAUUGUAUUAAUGUUCAAGACCUGGCAAAUCUAAGCAAUCAAUACGGACAUUGGCUGGUCCUUUGUUCGUCUGACUGGAAACAAGAAAUGAAUGAGAACAAGUACAGACAGUGAAAGUUCUUUAUGAUUGUAUAAAAUGUUCUAGAGCACGAGGCAAGAUUAACAAUAUCUGAGCUAUCCUCAAUACGAGGCUGAUCCUUCAUACUGUCGGUAAAAAGAGGUUAAUGUCAGAAGAAAUUAUUAUUUAUAAAAAAACUCAGUUAUCGAAAUGUGUAUUUUUCAUUGUACAUGUUGCAUGCUUUCCACUUUAUCAUAUCCAAUUCUAUGGUGCUUGCUCAUGAUAAUGUGUAUUGUAUUGUGUUGCCAUUGUGUAUUGCUUUCUGUGUGGUCUGAUUUUAUUUGUUUUAUUAUCUCUGUCUCUUGUGUCUUUGAUAAAAGAACAAGAACCAAAAAUGUUUUUAACAAACUCAAUCGUUGCGGAUCGUUGCGGCUACGAAAACGACAAUCAGCAAAGCAAAAUUAACGCAGAUGUUGAAAAAAAAUUGAAAUCAGUGUUAUUUUUUUCUCAACUGCAAUACGUCGGGGAAAAAAACGGUCCGAAGCAGCAAAGAUAACGACGAAAAUACGAGACUUCUUAUGGCGGUAUUGGAAGAAUUAAUACCAGAAAUCGGUGUUAUUUUAACCAUAACUGUAAUGGUACCCGAAAUAUUUGACGAAAUGAAGGAAAAAAUCAAAACGGUCUAAACUCGCAUCGUAUGUGGAUACAUUAUUUUCGUAUAAAUACUACUCAGCCUCUACCAGAUGGCUAUGAAUAUGACGAAAAUUACGUCAAAAAUCGAAGCGGCAAAAACGUAACGCAUGUAAGAGAAAUUAAACUUGACAGUGUCUUUCACACACACAAAUGGGUUUCUGAAAUACCCAAAGCAAAGUAGCGAAAAUUAAAAUGACGAAAAUGAUGGCAAAACUAAUGCCAAAACUUUAACAGCGGCCACGAAAGAAAAUGUGUACUUGAAUUCGCCGUUGAUUUUCUUAAUAAAUUGACCGUAAUGAAAAUGACGGAAAUUUUGAAACACAUCCCAUCUGCUGCAAAUCAAAAAACAAUGAAAAUGUGUGAUUUUCUUAUCCCUACAAAUAUUUUCUUUUUAAAAAUCGGUUACGGAAAUACCCAAAUUAAAGUGGCGAAAUUUACAAUGACAAAAAGUACGGCAAAAACCAACAGCCGCGUCGAAAGAGUUGUACUUGAAAUCGAUGUUAAUUUUCCUGAUAUUAUUGGCUAUAAAAAUGACGGAAAUUUUGAUAAAAAUCUAAUCGGCUUCAAAUAGUCGGAAAACGAAUUUUUGCAAAACGGUGGGAAAAACGACAGCAACAAAACAACACAUCUUCGAGAAGUUUGGCUACAAAGAAAACUAAUUGCAAACACCGAGGUAUGAAUCUGAGUUAGUGAAAUCAACAACAAAAAUGUGUGGGGGGAAUGCUGUCAGACGUGCGACAUGUUUAUGGUCGCAUGCGACAUUUCUUCAUGUUGUAACUUUCAAACUUCAUAUUCAUCUUUUUUGUAAGUCCGAUAUAGAAAGAUCGGCAGGGACUUUAAGGAUAAAGUGUACUUUAUCCUACUUAUUUGGUUUUGACCUGUGAUAAUGCAAGUCCGAUCAUCAAGCAUCGGCUUAGAAUGAGGUUUGACAUCAGUGUUGUUUUAUUCAAGGAUCAGAACAGAAUCGUACGGCCAAAAUAACAGCGCUGUGGUAUUGAGUUAGCAAUGACCUGCAAUCAUUGAUAGUUUUAAUAUCAUCGGGUCAUGACAUUCGCAAUCAAAUAUUGAUUUGUGCGGCUAUGAACAUACCGCACUUACCGUAAUUUCCAAAGAAAGUGAGACACGCUACACGUGUAGAGUCGCCUUGUGUUUAGAGUCACAUAAUAACACAUUUCAUUUUUAGUGUUGUAAUUAGGGCCGACGAUGUAACUCUCCUUCCACCGUAUGUUUAACGUAAGUCCGAUUUGGAAGGAAUCGGCAAGGAUAAAGAUUGCAUCUUGAAAUCUUAAAGUCAUGUGAAUUUCUUGCAUGUUCGUUGGUGAGUUAUUAUGCGGUUUCCGAGGCAACCUGCACUUGUCGGCGUCGACACACAUUUUUGUGUGCAGUGAAACGAAUAAUGUAGUGUGUUUUCAAAAGCAAAAAUUGAAAAAAUUGAAGUAAACUUUGUAAGUAUGCGGGUACAAUCGUUAUUUUCCACAGGGUGGUUAACCAUGACAGCUACAGGUAAGCUGAUAGAUAGUCAUUGGAUGUACAUUGUAUAGUAAUGUUUCACCUCAGUAACGUCAUGUUACUGAAGUAACCAGCCUGGCCCCGUGUUUUCUUACCCCUGUUUACUGAGGAAAGACGUGCAGCUUUCAUCGAAGAAAAUGAGGAUCUAUAAGUGGAGAUAGGAUCCUGCUACGAAAAUUGAAAACAAAAUAAUAUUCAUAUCGGUCUAAAAUCACAUUGUAUGUGGAUAAAUUCUUUUCGUAGAAAUACUACUCCGCCUCCAACAGAUGGCUUUAAAAAUGACGAGACCGACACCAAAAAUCGAAGCGGCAAAAAUGUUCAGCGACCAUGACAUGGAAAAAGAAAUAUCUAAAAAAAAAAUACAAAAUUAAAACAAUCGACGCUAGUGAGAUAAAUUAUACUCGAGAACAGUGUUAUUUUCGUACAUACAAAUAAAUAAAAACAAAAUCGGUUACGGAAAUACCCAAAUCAAAGUGGCGAAAAUUAAAAGUACGAAAAUUACAGGUAAAAAAAAUUGACAGCGGCGGUGAAAGAAGAGUACUUGAAAUCUGUGUUAAUUUAAUAUAAAAAUAGAAAUGACCGAAAUUUUAAUGAACAUCUAAUCGGCUUCAACAAAUGGUCGGAAAGCGAAUUUUGACAAAACGUAAACGGUGCGAAAAACGACAGCAACAAAACAAUUAAAAUGGCAGAAAUUGCGGGAGCAAAAAAUAAUCACCAUCUCGAAACAAAGACAAAUGUUAAAGUGACGGAAUUUACGGCAAUUACAGCGACAUUAAAAACAAUCUUCCCGCAGAACUACACAUCAUAAAGGUACAUUCGGCUUAAAAAAUAACGGAAAUUGUUGCACACUUUCGAGAAGUUUGCCUACGAAGAAAACGAAUAGCAAAAACCGAGGUAUGCAUCUGUGUAUGUCAAACUUCGUAAAAUCAACAACAAAAAUGUGUAGGGGUAUGCUGUCAGACGUGCGACAUGUUUAUAGUCGCAUGCGACAUUUCCUUCAUGCUGUAACUUGUCCAAUUUCAUGUUCAUCAUUUUGUUAGUCCAAUUUGGAAAGAUCUUUUGGUAGUCUUGCUUUGACCUUCGAUAACGUAAGGCAUAACAUCAAGAAUCGGCUGGGAUGAGACUUAAAAUUAGGGCUGUUGUACUCAACGAGGAAAAAGCUCAGACUCUUCGGCCAAAAUAACAGCGCUGCGGUAGUGAAAGAGAUAGCUAAAUCCUGGGAUCAGUUUUAAUAUUAUCAUUGGUAUUGAACUUUCACAAUCAAAUCUUUGUGCGGAUAUGUGAAUACACACUUACCGUAAAUUUAAAGAGAAGAUAUCUUAAGACAUGCGACAGGUGUUUAGUCGCUGCAAUACUUAUUUCCUUAUUUCCUUCCGCCGUAUGUUUAAUGUAAGUCCGAUUUGGAAGGGAUCGGCAAUGAUUAAGAUGGUAUUUUGUCGCUUCUAAGUCAUGUGAAUUUCUUUACUGUUCGUUUAUAGUGCGUGAGUUAUAUGCGGUUUCCAAGGCAACCUGCCAUUAUCAGCGUCAGCACAUGUCUGUGCAUUCUGACAAAUAUUCAUGUCUGUUUGAAAAGAAACAUUCUACCCAUUGGGUAGAAUCGUUUAGUUUCCAUUGGGUCAUAACCAUGACCUGGUUAGGUAGGCUUAGACAUAAUUAUUGGAAUGUUUCACUUAGUAACAAAUGGGCUAGGCCCAGUGUUUUCUUACCCCUGUUCACUUAGAAAAGAGUUGCAGCUUUCAUCAAAGAAUCUGAUGAUCUAAAAGUUGAGACUAACUGGAUGAGCUAGGCUGCUUUGUCUGGACGAAAAUGAACCCUCCAAGGCUCCAACAGCCUCAUCACACAGAAACUCGAGGAACCGGAAGCAGGGAGGAGGACCGACAGAUGAACGGAUGACCUGCUUGCCGGGCUUCUCAUUACUGAUUCUUGAGAGAAACGAGGACCACUAACUGAAGAGGAAAUUGCUCUACUGAGAUGAGGAUGAGCCUGCCUCAAGCCGUCGUAAGCUGGGAGGACCGACGGUUCACUGACUGUGCUGGGCUGGUCAUUGCUGAUUCAUGAGAAGAUGAGUACCACCAAGCUUGGACGAGACUGGACAAUGACGAAGCUGUAUCUGGACAAGGAAACCUUCACAAUUAACUUGCAGAAUAUUGGAUCAGAAAUCAGACUGCAUUUUUUGCAAAGUCAGUAAUAUAAAACAUAAAAACGACGAAAAUACGACUUUUUA